Molecule: non-coding RNA, 320 nt
Organism: Nomascus leucogenys (northern white-cheeked gibbon)
Lineage: Eukaryota; Metazoa; Chordata; Mammalia; Primates; Hylobatidae
Rfam family: Metazoan signal recognition particle RNA
About the family: The signal recognition particle (SRP) is a universally conserved ribonucleoprotein. It is involved in the co-translational targeting of proteins to membranes. The eukaryotic SRP consists of a 300-nucleotide 7S RNA and six proteins: SRPs 72, 68, 54, 19, 14, and 9.
Source: Rfam
GUCAGGUGCGGUGGUGCGGUAGUCCCAGCUACUUGGGAGGCUGAGGCAAGAGGAUCGCUUGAGCCCAGGAGUUCUGGGCUGUAGUGUGCUAUGCUAUGCCAACUGGGUAUCUGCACUAAGUUCUUCAUCAAUAUGGUGACCUCUUGGGAGUGGGGUCCACCAGGUUGCCUAAGGAGGGAUGAACCGGCCCAGGUCAGAAACAGAACAGAUCAAAAUUCCUGUGCUGAUCAAAUGAUUUUCCACAUAAAAUACUAUGGUCUAUAAGAUGAAAAUGAAGCAGACACACGCUGCUUGAGCCACUAUUUUAGGAAUUGCCUCUG